Molecule: long non-coding RNA, 229 nt
Filed under: Elaeis guineensis (African oil palm)
Lineage: Eukaryota; Viridiplantae; Streptophyta; Magnoliopsida; Arecales; Arecaceae
Description: long non-coding RNA (EGUI_LNC056646)
Source: RNAcentral
CAUGGAGAAUGCAUAGAACCUCAUUUGGAAAUCCAUCAUUUGAUAAUUAAAAAUUUUUCGAGCCUCAUCAUCGAUAAUGGUUGAUAAUUUCAUAAUACCUAAUUUAAAAAAUUCUAUUCCAAAAUCGACAUCGAACAUCGACUAACCUAGGUCAGUCACUCUCAAGGUGAUGGAGAGGCUGAGGUAACUAUUGCCCAGAAAGGUAGCAACGCAAGAGAGGGGUGAUAGG